GCAGCUUCCUUGUCUUUAAUGUCAUGCGCCUU
Molecule: non-coding RNA, 32 nt
Filed under: Homo sapiens (human)
Lineage: Eukaryota; Metazoa; Chordata; Mammalia; Primates; Hominidae
Source: RNAcentral